AAGAAAAAGGAGGAGCACGACGGAGUACGGGGGCAGCUUUCACUGUGGAGCAGAAACAUCUGGAAGCAUUUACAUCUGCACAAACACACAGAGCGGCCCCGGCCCAACAGUUACAUCACCCACAGCUCGACACAAUCCCACAACAACGCCACUCGUCUGCAUUCUUGCAGAAAUACGCCCUUCACUGCAGCGCUGACAAAACACACACACAACUGUUCCUGACAACACAACAAGCACGUAAACGAACAGCGGAAUAAUCCAUAAAAACACCUCAGAUGUUCCUGAAGACCCACAGAGCUGCGUGUGGACGAGAGCCUACACACACAUGCACACUUGUACACACAACCCCCCCUCCCCUUCGGCCCCCGUAACCCAGUACGAUUUCCUGCAAAUUCCAAAGUCAGAUCCCGGCUGGAACAUUUCAACUCGCCUUGCCACGUCAGUUUUCCGACCCCGUCCUACCACUCAGUCUCUUUUGCUGCCGUUCACCCGAUUUGCAGCCUACACGAAAAAGCCAACAGUCCGAUUCGUCUCUGGGCAACGAAGAUCGUGUGCGUUAUUAUUUUGGUAUUGCUCGUCGUUUUCUGACCUUUUCAGGCGAGACACAGCUGAGGCCUAAAAGAAGGCAACUUGCUAGGGUAGCGACCUGCAGACACAAUGACCUCUGGGUCGUUCCUCCUGAAGCCCUCCCCCCCACCCAGCCUGCCCAGUGUUCAGACUACCUGUUCCUAAAGCUACAGCUGAACAGUAGUCUGCACAUUGGUUAGGCUAGCCUGGGACGCACACACUUCCUGUCUCUGAUGUCAUAGCAGCGGUGUCGCCAACAUUUUCGUCGUGUUUUUAUUUUUUCCUGUUGUGUGAUUUCAUUUCAUGUUGGACCUUUAUACAUCCAGUUGUGUCAGACUAAAUGUGGUCUUAUGAAACAGAAAACCGUCUCACCUCCUCAUCUUUGUACCAGGAGAGGGACUCAGCUGUCAGGACAAACCAGUAUUCCUUAGAGCCUCCUUUCAUGAUGCUGAGGUGAAGAGUUAGCCAGCCUUUCCUGAUCACCUACAGAGUCAGGAAAAUAUGUAGGAGAAACCAGGAUCCAAGGGACAUGGGGAAUUUUAGGAAGGUGAGGGAAAACAACAUUAACUAUCAGGAUUAUGCACUGUGGAAACGUGGAGCCCAGGAUUUGACAGAGACUGUUAGAACCUUACCCCACUUACCUUCAAGGACAGUUUUGAUUUGAAUCUCAGUGUUAAACAUGUCAGCGAGUUUUCAAUCAUUAAUGCCAAAACUAAAUGUUAAAAUGUUAAAAUCAGGUUAGUAAAGUAUGCCUAAGGUGAUAUAUGUGUAUAGUUAGGUUACAUUUAAUGAACAGACCAGAUGAUUGAUUAAUUGAUAGUUGCUAAAACGGAUGAAGGCAUGGUUCUCUUCUAUUCAGCAGCACAUAAAUCAUUAAACUAGCAAACAGUCACAGAUGUUCUCCAGGGCGUUUGACCCAGAACAGAGAAAGACAAACGGGGUUGGCUUGAAUCAGAUCUACAUGGGUUGGAUUACAGAAUAAAAGCGCUAAAGCAGACCAAGAAGUCAGUGAAAAGAUUAGAUGCAGAAACAAAGCAGACAAUUAUUUUUAGAGAUGGAGACAAAUCUAAAGAACAUGAAGAUCAGAGACGGAGUAAAUACACCGGUCUACAGUCGGUCACUCUGGGGAAAAAAUGCUGUGCUGCUUUAGAGUUUGUCGCGACCUUCUCAUUUUCUUGCUCUUUGUGAACUUGUUUAAUGGAAAAAUAUAUAAAAGAAACUUAUUGGGAGAGAAGUUUGGCCUGUGCGAAGUAAACGUCAGGUUUUAUAUAAUUCCUCUUGAUGCAAAAGGGAAAUGGAGCGGGUGAUGUAGGAGAAAGCAUUACCUUCGUUCCAAUAGAAACACGGGCGAAAAGACAAGAAAAUAGAAGAUGCCAUGGUAGCUUGCUUUGGCAAGUAAAUCAUUAAGCCUUAGAAGAAAAAUCCAUGCACCUCUUUUGUGUUCUUAGAUCACUUAUGAGAUGUGAGGGUGUAAUGAUGAGGUGGUGUUUGUGUUAAGACCAAUAUUUAGUACGUUUGUUAUUGAUUAGAUGAUAGAAGGGGCUGCGCAGUGGUUAGAGCUGUUGCCGGCCUGGGAUCUUUCUGUAUGGAGUUAGCAUGUUCUCCCUGUGCAUGCGUGGGUUCUCUCCGGUACUCCGGCUUCCUCCCACAGUCCAAAAACAUGACUGUUAGGCUAAUUGGUCUGUCUAAAUUAUCCUUAGGUGUGUGUGUGUGUGUGUGUGUGUGUGUGUGUGCAUUAUUGUUUGUCCUGUGUGUCUCUGUGCCCCCCCCCCCCCCCCACCCCACCCCAACCUACGUGGACAAAGCGGGUUCAGACAAUGGAUGGAUGGAUGGAUGGAUGGAUGGAUGGAUAGAAGUUGUUAAUUUACAUCUGAAAUCAAGAAAGACGUUUGAUUGGAGGAAAAUUUGUUUAUUUAAAAUUUGCCUUCAUGGAUAUCAGUGGCAGAAAACCAGGGGUUGGUUCCAGUCAUUAUUAUUCACCCCAAAGCCCUGACCCGAUUAAAACGCUAUUUGGAUCAACUCUGAGAACAGUAAUUACAUUCAGAUCAAUUGUUGUUAGUAGAUUAUUUAAGAGAAAAUGCCUAAAAAAUAUUAUUUUUUUCACUUGAUUGCAUGUUGCUAACUGGAUUAAUGCCACUCUCCUGAUCCCAGUGGCGUUUGUGGCGGAUUUCACAAAGCAGACGUUUGAAUCACCAAGCUUGAGGCAGCAGCAGAGGUCAAACCAAACGACAGGGAACUGAUUCCUCCACACUCACUGGUGGCACACUUCCUCUACUUCUCUCUUGCUUUUGUUAAUGGAGAGAAACACCACCAGACCUUUUGGUGGCAAAUUUAUUCAGAAUCUUUACUAAACACACAGCAGAAAAAUGUUAGUAGAAUUACCGCAUCAUUAAAUAAACAGAAUUACAGGUUUAAAUGUGUGACGCUACUAUUAAAAAUGUCCAAAUUACUGGUUAUGGUGCGCUGACGCUUGAAUUAAACUGAAGUGCGCUGACGCUUGAAUUAAACUGAAGCAGUCAGGCAAGUCUCUACCUCUUCCUCCUGGACCUCUCCCAGCAGGCCGAGCUGCAGAGGGGUAGAACAACUCAUUAUGAUGGAGGUAUCACCUCACACAGACACAGGAGCCAAAGUUUGAUCAGAAAUCUAUUCUAACUCCAACCAAACUGGCUGACCUUAACUUAUACGGCCUCAGUUCUUCUGCAUGGUUUACCCCUGCUGCCCCUGGCAGGGUGUGGGUUAAAUCUGUGGGGUACUUACCAAAAUCUCACCCUGCGGUAAUAGGAAGGGAAUGAGAUUAAAGCAGAGGGGAGUGGUAAAAAAUCAAAGCCAAAAUAAAUGAGAAAGCAAGAAAGAGGAGACAAGAGACAGAGAAGAAAGAAGGUAAAGGGUGAAAGUUUCAUUCAUAUGGGUAAAGAAGGAAAAAGGGAAGAAUGGAAAAGGAAAAGAGGAGGGGGGGGGGGGGGGGGGUUGAAGGUGCAGCAAAGGAAAUCCAGGAGGAGACCAGAGAUGGAUGUAAAGAGGAGAGAGAUAAGAGAGACAGAGCAAGAGUUACAUGCAAUUAAAAUCUCAUUUACAUCACAAUUUGGUUACGGCAGUCUAUUGCUUAGUUGAUUGGUGUGCCAUCCAUGCGCUUUCUACCGUUUAAAUAAACAUGAUGCUUGUGAGUUAA
This is a non-coding RNA of Nothobranchius furzeri (turquoise killifish), 3736 nucleotides long. The record is from RefSeq and is a predicted model, not a curated record. Lineage: Eukaryota; Metazoa; Chordata; Actinopteri; Cyprinodontiformes; Nothobranchiidae.